Molecule: small nuclear RNA, 107 nt
Organism: Callorhinus ursinus (northern fur seal)
Lineage: Eukaryota; Metazoa; Chordata; Mammalia; Carnivora; Otariidae
Source: RefSeq, a predicted model, not a curated record
AUGCUCGUUUUGGCAGCACAUAUACUAAAGCUGGAAGGAGAGAGAGAUUAGCAUGGCCCCUGCACAAGGAUGACACAUAAAUAUCUGUGAAUAUAUAUCAUAAGUAU